This is a long non-coding RNA of Cyprinus carpio (common carp), 248 nucleotides long. RefSeq lists it as uncharacterized. Lineage: Eukaryota; Metazoa; Chordata; Actinopteri; Cypriniformes; Cyprinidae. The transcript has 3 exons. The record is from RefSeq and is a predicted model, not a curated record.
CAAACCCCUCACACCUGAGAGAGCUGGAUCUGAGCUACAAUCACCCAGGUCCAUCAGGAGUCCAGCUGCUCAAACAAAGAUAUGAGGAUCCAAACUAUAAACUGCACAUACUCAAUUUGGACCAUGGAGGACAUUUCAGAAUCAAACCAGGACUGAGAAAAUAUGCCUGUGAUCUCACACUGGAUCCAAACACAGCACACACUCAACUCAUCCUGUCUGAAGACUACAAAAAAAACUGGAAUGUGUGA